This 467-nucleotide ribosomal RNA is filed under the name uncultured Glomus. RNAcentral's name for it is "SSU rRNA". It matches the Rfam family "Eukaryotic small subunit ribosomal RNA", at positions 569 to 1040 of the family's 1831-position model. Lineage: Eukaryota; Fungi; Glomeromycota; Glomeromycetes; Glomerales; Glomeraceae. The record is from RNAcentral.
AGCAGCCGCGGUAAUUCCAGCUCCAAUAGCGUAUAUUAAAGUUGUUGCAGUUAAAAAGCUCGUAGUUGAAUUUCGGGGUCAGUAGGCUGGUCGUGCCACUGGUAUGCACUGGUCUCACUGAUUCCUCCUUCCUGAUGAACCGUAAUGCCAUUAAUUUGGUGUUGCGGGGAAUCUGGACUGUUACUUUGAAAAAAUUAGAGUGUUUAAAGCAGGCUAACGCUUGAAUACACUAGCAUGGAAUAAUGAAAUAGGACGUUCGAUCUUAUUUUGUUGGUUUCUAAGAUUGACGUAAUGAUUAAUAGGGAUAGUUGGGGGCAUUAGUAUUCAAUUGUCAGAGGUGAAAUUCUUGGAUUUAUUGAAGACUAACUACUGCGAAAGCAUUUGCCAAGGAUGUUUUCAUUAAUCAAGAACGAAAGUUAGGGGAUCGAAGACGAUCAGAUACCGUCGUAGUCUUAACCAUAAACUAU